GAGCUUCAUGUGUUUUGGUUACGUGUAUUGAGUGAAGAAGAAGAAGAAGAAGACAGCCUAUGACCAAAACAAGUCGUUUUGUAAAUAUCGUCUGAACUCACCGAAACAGCCUUGUCCUGGAUGUAAAUACGAACUUAUUACAGCAGAUGUUUUAAAGAUGUUACGGGAUUUGACCUCAAUAUUAGUUGGAGGGUCACGAGGACUCCCCCCUACACUCGCAUUUCUCUUCAAGUUAGCUUGGGCUUCACGUGUUCGUUUACCUUUACUAAUUGCAGUAGGAUUUAUGGUUACGAACAUUCAUUUACGUUUAGAAAUAAAUGUUAAUAUUGAAGUAGGAGAAGAUGAGCCACCUCCUGAACAACAACCUCAAAACCAGCAGCAGCAGCUGCAGAGUCAACAUGAUGCGUAGUCAUAAUGAGCUUUAAACAGAUGUAAGAUCUAUCUGACCAAGGUAGGAACAAACCAGACUCAAGUGUGGUCAAGGCAGAAGAACAAGCAGAAACUGGUAUUAAAAACCAUUAUACAACAGCAUUCAAACAAACAAGGAC
Molecule: long non-coding RNA, 548 nt
Organism: Macrobrachium nipponense
Lineage: Eukaryota; Metazoa; Arthropoda; Malacostraca; Decapoda; Palaemonidae
Exons: 3
Source: RefSeq, a predicted model, not a curated record